RNAcentral lists this ribosomal RNA (1385 nucleotides) under Staphylococcus aureus. RNAcentral describes it as "partial 23S ribosomal RNA". It matches the Rfam family "Bacterial large subunit ribosomal RNA", at positions 176 to 1561 of the family's 2925-position model. Lineage: Bacteria; Bacillati; Bacillota; Bacilli; Caryophanales; Staphylococcaceae. The record is from RNAcentral.
AAGGCACACCCGGAGAACUGAAACAUCUUAGUACCCGGAGGAAGAGAAAGAAAAUUCGAUUCCCUUAGUAGCGGCGAGCGAAACGGGAAGAGCCCAAACCAACAAGCUUGCUUGUUGGGGUUGUAGGACACUCUAUACGGAGUUACAAAGGACGACAUUAGACGAAUCAUAUGGAAAGAUGAAUCAAAGAAGGUAAUAAUCCUGUAGUCGAAAAUGUUGUCUCUCUUGAGUGGAUCCUGAGUACGACGGAGCACGUGAAAUUCCGUCGGAAUCUGGGAGGACCAUCUCCUAAGGCUAAAUACUCUCUAGUGACCGAUAGUGAACCAGUACCGUGAGGGAAAGGUGAAAAGCACCCCGGAAGGGGAGUGAAAUAGAACCUGAAACCGUGUGCUUACAAGUAGUCAGAGCCCGUUAAUGGGUGAUGGCGUGCCUUUUGUAGAAUGAACCGGCGAGUUACGAUUUGAUGCAAGGUUAAGCAGUAAAUGUGGAGCCGUAGCGAAAGCGAGUCUGAAUAGGGCGUUUAGUAUUUGGUCGUAGACCCGAAACCAGGUGAUCUACCCUUGGUCAGGUUGAAGUUCAGGUAACACUGAAUGGAGGACCGAACCGACUUACGUUGAAAAGUGAGCGGAUGAACUGAGGGUAGCGGAGAAAUUCCAAUCGAACCUGGAGAUAGCUGGUUCUCUCCGAAAUAGCUUUAGGGCUAGCCUCAAGUGAUGAUUAUUGGAGGUAGAGCACUGUUUGGACGAGGGGCCCCUCUCGGGUUACCGAAUUCAGACAAACUCCGAAUGCCAAUUAAUUUAACUUGGGAGUCAGAACAUGGGUGAUAAGGUCCGUGUUCGAAAGGGAAACAGCCCAGACCACCAGCUAAGGUCCCAAAAUAUAUGUUAAGUGGAAAAGGAUGUGGCGUUGCCCAGACAACUAGGAUGUUGGCUUAGAAGCAGCCAUCAUUUAAAGAGUGCGUAAUAGCUCACUAGUCGAGUGACACUGCGCCGAAAAUGUACCGGGGCUAAACAUAUUACCGAAGCUGUGGAUUGUCCUUUGGACAAUGGUAGGAGAGCGUUCUAAGGGCGUUGAAGCAUGAUCGUAAGGACAUGUGGAGCGCUUAGAAGUGAGAAUGCCGGUGUGAGUAGCGAAAGACGGGUGAGAAUCCCGUCCACCGAUUGACUAAGGUUUCCAGAGGAAGGCUCGUCCGCUCUGGGUUAGUCGGGUCCUAAGCUGAGGCCGACAGGCGUAGGCGAUGGAUAACAGGUUGAUAUUCCUGUACCACCUAUAAUCGUUUUAAUCGAUGGGGGGACGCAGUAGGAUAGGCGAAGCGUGCGAUUGGAUUGCACGUCUAAGCAGUAAGGCUGAGUAUUAGGCAAAUCCGGUACUCGUUAAGGCUGAGC